CCUACGGGUGGCAGCAGUGAGGAAUAUUGCACAAUGGGCGAAAGCCUGAUGCAGCGACGUCGCGUGAGGGAAGAAGGAAUUAGUUAUUGUAAACUCUAUCUGCAGGGGAGAAAAUGACGGUACCUGAGUAAGAAGCCCCGGCUAACUACGUGCCAGCAGCCGCGGUAAUACGUAGGGGGCCAGCGUUAUCCGGAUUUACUGGGUGGAAAGGGAGCGUAGUCGGGAGUGCAAGUCUGGAGUGAAAGGCGGGGGCUCAACCCCCGGACUGCUGUGGAAACUGUACGGCUGGAGUGCAGGAGAGGUAAGUGGAAUUCCUAGUGUAGCGGUGAAAUGCGUAGAUAUUAGGAGGAACACCAGGGGCGAAGGCGGCUUACUGGAGUGUAACUGACGUUGAGGCUCGAAAGCGUGGGGAGCGAACAGGAUUAGAUACCCUAGUAGUC
Molecule: ribosomal RNA, 440 nt
Filed under: uncultured bacterium
Lineage: Bacteria
Description: partial 16S ribosomal RNA
Rfam family: Bacterial small subunit ribosomal RNA
Source: RNAcentral